Molecule: long non-coding RNA, 1327 nt
Filed under: Mytilus galloprovincialis (Mediterranean mussel)
Lineage: Eukaryota; Metazoa; Mollusca; Bivalvia; Mytilida; Mytilidae
Source: RNAcentral
GCCGUUGUGUUUUUUUUUAAUUAUAUUUGACGUUUUGUUUAUCUGUUCCUGACAACGAUAACUAACUAAAUUUUUCAAUUAAACGUGAUACUAUUUAUACAUAUUCAGCUCCAACAAUUUGAUAUGUACUCCCACAAGUGUACUCAAGUAGCAGGUCUAUAACAUAAAUGUUUCUAUUAAUAUUUAUUAAUGAUUGUUCUUUAACAUCGUUGAAAUAAGUACAAACAACACAAAUUCAAUAAUACGCAUUCAUAUGAAUUAUAUGAGAAACAGUUACAAUCCUAUUUAAGUUACAAUAUCAGAAUUCAAUUGCGUAAAAAUUUAUAAAAAUUACAAACAUAAUUUUGAAUCCGUGUUAUCUACACAAGUUAUAUCCGGAGUGCCUUUAAAAGUACAAAUGCCCAUCGUUCUAAUAAUAGAUUUUAUGUCUGUUGAUAUACAGAACAGACCAAAAUGUCAAAUUAAAAGAACAAGCGAAACUCAUUUUUAUAAUUUCGAGUGUCAUUUCCGACAAAAACAAUUCAAAAUUGAUUAUAGUGAAAUUGUAAACAAACCUGCCGUCAUCGAUUUGUUAUCGUUUUACAUCUGUAGGGUGAAGUGCAAAACAAAUUAACCAGCGGUAAUAAAGUUUUUUUUUUGAUGAAAAAAAAAAAUAAACAGCUAAUUUUAAACUGUUUAAUUGAGAUCCAUGUCUUCACUUAACAACAUAUCAUUUUGCAGGACAAGAACAAUGGUUUUAUUACUUUUUUACGACAAAACAAUGUUCAUCAAUCAAGAUAAUAUGAACACAAAUAUUUGAACGGUUCCUGGAAACGUUAUCUUACUUACAGGAAGUUUGCAUGCGUUAUGUAAAGUAGAUUUUUCCAGUCACAUAUUUGAUAUAGUCCGAAUGAUCUAAUUACAAACAGACCAAAGGAUUGUACCGAACACCCAGUCAUUUAAGGAAAUUUCGAAUCACUUGAAUUCAGAUUCAGGUACACGUUCACUGGCACUUGUGUCUAUCCAUGGGAAGACCCACUAUCAACGUACAUUUACGAGAAGGUACUCAACUACUUUUUUCACCUCUCUGCUUAAAACACUUAUUUCUCUGUCAAUUCAGUCUCAAAUUUCUUGUCCCAUACACCAUUCGAUUCAUAAAAAGUUUUUCUUUCAGAUGAUAUGCAUUGUAUUUACCCUUAGAUUACUCCUUUAACCCCAAUACACAAGAUUUGUCAAUAAAUUUUCAUGUAAUCGUUUUUAGUCCUCCUACAAAAUACAACAACUUCUGUUUUAGAUAAUUUGCAUAAAACAGUGAAGGAUAAGUCUAAAGAGUCACAAAUGAUUAAUG